Molecule: ribosomal RNA, 163 nt
Filed under: Stenodraba parvifolia
Lineage: Eukaryota; Viridiplantae; Streptophyta; Magnoliopsida; Brassicales; Brassicaceae
Description: Pennellia parvifolia 5.8S ribosomal RNA
Rfam family: 5.8S ribosomal RNA
About the family: 5.8S ribosomal RNA (5.8S rRNA) is a component of the large subunit of the eukaryotic ribosome.
Source: RNAcentral
AACGACUCUCGGCAACGGAUAUCUCGGCUCUCGCAUCGAUGAAGAAAGUAGAGAAAUGCGAUACUUGGUGUGAAUUGCAGAAUCCCGUGAACCAUCGAGUCUUUGAACGCAAGUUGCGCCCCAAGCCUUCUGGCCGAGGGCACGUCUGCCUGGGUGUCACAAA